UGUGUUGUUAUAACACAGUACAGACCUUUUUUCCCUUUUCUCUCUGAAGUGCUUCCUCACUGGUUCCUGUACCCACGGCUAGCCACUGGCACGACCACAUAUCAGUGGGUUUCCACAACCUGGACAGUGGGGUGACGCCCAAUUCAUCUCCCAGUCCAACUAGACGGUUUAGAGGGGGCUCAGUCAACUCUGCAGUGAGGUGGCCGUCGUUGACUCCGCUGAAAAGAAAAGGAGGCGUGGAAUCUGAUGGACCUCCCAAAAAGCUCUUUGUUGCCGGAGUGACAGAACCUGCUCAUGUAACGAGUUACACGGUCAGUGUCUCCCAGCCUGACGGCUCCUCAGCGGGGGGGUUGGCGGUGUGCACGAGCCCCCAGAACAGUCCCAUAUCCCUCUCCCCUCCACCCCAAUUCUCCCCCCAUCACCCGAGCAUCUAGGAGCUCCACACAUGUGUUCAGCCUCCCAGCCCGAGACGUGGUGCGCACCUGCAGCAGGGUUCAGGAUUUAGGAUGACCUAAACAGUGUGCAGUAGUCAGAGCUGGGGACUCAGCUAAACAGUGUGCAGUAGUCAGAGCUGGGGUCUCAGCGAAGGGCCGCAUGUUGAUACGAAGGCUUCAACCCCAUUCUGGCAAUCAGUUUUGUAUACCAUUACAGCGAGAUGGACUUUACAAUCGGCACAAUGUUUUUAAGGUUAAAGACAUAUUAUGGACACUUUCCGUCUCUUCUACACCCAGUUCUUGAAUCAGUCAGGUGUCUAAGAGUGAAGUAGACGGCAUAAAAGACCUAAGUUUGUUGAGAUAUCAGGAACCGCCCGAGAUGUUUCAUCAAUGACAUCCCAAGGGUGGAGUGCAGUGGUGAUAUGUAGGGUGUGUAUCAAGAGAGGCAUAGCACUUAAAUAUUGGACAUGUUUUGGUCUCUGAAUCCUACGGUUGGACAUAAGAUAUAUGGUGUCUAAUUAUAUUACAUAUUAGACAUUAGUACUCUUACGGGAUCCGUACCUGAAGUAUUUGAGUUGCGACUAAUUUGUUUGGCCUGUCCGCAGAAUGUUAGAAUGUUGAGCCCACUCGUUAGUGUAAAAUCAAAGUGAAUUAUUUUUCUUUCUUAUCCUUACAGAAUUGAGAGAAUGUCCUCUGUUGUUCUGUCAGCAACUGUAUCUAGUAUGGUCCAAAGAGGUCUUCCAAUACGAAGUCCAGAUAUUUUUUUAAGUCCUUCAGAAAUCAGAUAGUGAGGAAAUACUCAAGAGGUAAUGGCCGUUAUACCUGUGUUUGUUUUAUACGUGUACAGUUUGUGAAUAUAAGAAAACUCAAAUAUAUAUAUGUGAACCCUUGACAACGCCAAGCUGUUGGCUCAGUGGGUUAGCUUUGCUAGGCAGUCAAUCAUAGUUAAGAAUGUCCCAAUCAUUGAGCUCACAAUUCUAGACGUAAACUUGUCCUUCAUGCGUCACCCCUAAGUUUCAGCAUUUGUUUUCACAGUAGCGCAAAGGUGACAUGGAUCCAGUGGGGAGACAUGCUAGUUCUUUUAGGGGGGUACCCAAGGACCAGGUUUUGGAAAUCUUGCCUCACAGUCAGGGAAUCAUGGGUACUUCAGAAGAGGGAAUCAGGGAUUAGAAAACCGUAAUAUUUCAAUUUACCCGACUCUUGGUAUUAUAUGUGGUCUUGAGGAUCACAUAUCGGAAAUGUCACAGUAAAUUGUUUUUCUUUUCCCUAUAUUGACUGUGAUGUAGAGUUGUAUUUAUAAUCCUUUGAUCUGCGCAUGACUCAUAUGUAAAAAUUUGUAUCAUGCUGCUUAGAGAAGAAUCUUACACAUUCAGGAAUAACUUAGAUGGUGAUUGUUUUGUGUUCCUCUCAUAAGACCUUGUUGAAUAUAAAUUUCACAUUAACGAAAGAUGUGAUUCUAUUUGCGAUACCUUGUUUUGUUUUGCUUCCAACUUUGACUAUUUGCACAGUAUUUGAUGGAUGAUCUAUAUUGCUGUUACAUGAGUGGGGAUCAUAUUUACAAUUAUAUCCUUUCAUUUUUGUUUAUUUGUUUGGCUUCAACGUUAUGACAAUGUUGAGUUCGGGCAUUGAGCCACUAUCCUAUCCUUUAUUCCUCUCUCUUUAAAGAGAAAGAUAUGUAGAAAGACAGAUUCUUCUCAAGUCAGAUAAUAAUCUUUUACGUAUCAAUGACUCAAGACCAUGUCCAGAUAAGAAAAUGGUUUCUUAUGUGAAGACCUUUUGAGUCCGUUGGCACUGCUAGGAUCAACCAGAGGGGCAACACCCAAAUCUAAAUGUUAAGAUAUUGGCCUAUAUAUUUAGAGUAUGCCAUUCCAAGCUUUUCUUCAAAUACUCAUUUGCUAUGUAAUACAAAUGAAAGAAAGGUAAACCACAAUACAGAAUUCAGAAUUAAUUGUGUAUUUUAAUCAGAUGUUUAAAUUACCCAGAAUUCCACAAAAAACACUGUAAUGCGUUUCAGUUCCAAUGUUGUACAGGAAAUAACAUAGACGCUGCCCUUCGAUAACUUACAUUUAGGACACGCUUUAAAAAUCAAAUCAAAUCUCUUGUAUAAUCCAGUCCUCAUUUGUGACAUGCUACUUUGUGUCUUUUGAGACUUGAAGAAUCUUACAGUUCAAAACUGUAUGCAGCCAGUUGAAUGUGCCGCCAGCAAUGUUAGCAUUUUCCUACCAACUCCUCCACGAGAUUUUGCAACAGAGCCCGUAGCCACUGUGUUCUGGACAGAAAAACGUCAUGGACGCCUUAUACGUUUCUUGAUUUGUUUAUGUAGCAGGUCCAUGUUUAAACUAUCAUCACAGAUUGCAUAGCCCAGAAGCCUGUUUUGGCACAAGACUAUUUUCGCAGUAGUUGUCAGACCGUAGAGGAAGUUUAACUUCCAAAAAGUAUUCCAAAAAGUAUUGCACACAACAGCGUCUCUGCUUGGCCUUAUGUGAUGCGACUCUGUGGCCAACGAGUAUAAUUGUAUAAUUAAGUAUAAUUGCCACUGAUUUAAAAGUGAAUAGUAUUUGUGUACAAAUAAACACAUAGCAGAACUCUGCAUAAUAAAGACUUUUGACACCCCUCAACUCCAGUAGGUGAGGAUUUGAAAUCAAGAUGAAACGCACAGAAACUUUGUUUUAGUCCUGGCUUAAUUUAGUACACAUUUUAGGGCACAUAGUCUACCUUGCUUUUAAAUACUGACGGCAAAAUAUUUGCACAGCACUGUGUACAUGCAGUAUAGUGUAUGUCUUCACAUCUACAAGUAUUUCAACACAUUUUUCCAAAACCAUUACAUUACAUUAGGCUGGUUGUCCACCUGUUUAGCAGUGCCUACAUCAGUAGCAGUCCCAAAAAUGUUGCCAAAUAUUUUUUUGACUUUAUAACCUUGAACAGGAAUACAAAUGUAUUUUCUUGUUGCAAUGUUUUUCUUUUUUUAGUAUUAUUGUUUCUUUUCUUUAUGCUCCAUGACCUUUGGUUAGUGUUUCGUUUUGUGUUGUUGUUUUUCUUCUUCUUUUCUUUUUACUUCUUUUUUUCUGGAUUGCCUGUAAAAUAACAGUCACGGUUACGACCAACAAUAUAACCUCCAACAGUAAUGACUGGUUUCAGGGUGCAGACAGGCAGAAGGCUUCUCACAGGACCCCUGAGCUACGGCCCGCUGUGAACAUACUAACGCUUGCUUGGUGUUCCAUCUUAUCUCUUUACCCAGCUGAGCCCUGGUCUUUUUCAGUUACUCUCAUUCAAUUUGAUUGUGAAAUGCCAUAGGAAAACUUAAUUGGCAGAUUAUUGUAAAUAUCAUAGAAAAAUUAUAAAAUAGCAUUUGACCUUUUGACCCGUUAUCUAAAAGCUUUGUAAACAAAGAGCAGAUCUGUCAGUGAUUGAAUCAUGGGUGUGUGUGUGUAGCAGUAUUAAAAGAGGGGUAUAAAAGGCUUUAAGAAUGAGAGGCCACACAGGAGAAGAAGGACUGGACAUUUUUUUGUUUGUUUUUGGCGUUCACCACUGCCAGUGCCUCAUGUUUGGCAGUUGAUCUUAUGUUGUAAAUGCUUUUAAAAUCCAAGUCAUGAGAAUAGAAAAGGAUUUUUGUGUGUAUUUUUUAUGAAGCUGUAACAUACAAAGCUGAAAGCAAAGCAGAUACGUUCCAUUUCCUGUAAUUAUCUCAUGAUAAAGUUGACUGACAAGAAAAAUGUCACAUUUUUAUUGAAAAAAAAAGAAAAAUGCUGCACACUUUUAGUACAUAUAUAUUGUAUAUGAAUGCAAUCAUGAUAAUAAAAUUCUUAUUAUAUCAUGAA
Clupea harengus (Atlantic herring) is the source of this 4252-nucleotide long non-coding RNA. RefSeq lists it as uncharacterized. Lineage: Eukaryota; Metazoa; Chordata; Actinopteri; Clupeiformes; Clupeidae. The transcript has 5 exons. The record is from RefSeq and is a predicted model, not a curated record.